This is a non-coding RNA of Arachis ipaensis, 154 nucleotides long. Lineage: Eukaryota; Viridiplantae; Streptophyta; Magnoliopsida; Fabales; Fabaceae. The record is from RefSeq and is a predicted model, not a curated record.
AGUAGAGAAGCAAAAAACAAAGAAAAAGGACUCAAAGAACACCACAAAAGACACAAUCCAAAAAGAAAAAGGUCAUUGUUGAGGAUUCAUCUCCUGAGAAGGCUCAAUCCUAUCAUGGAUCUGAAAUUGGAACUGAAGAAUUAGAAGAAUUCUU